This 640-nucleotide ribosomal RNA is filed under the name uncultured bacterium. RNAcentral describes it as "bacterial SSU rRNA". It matches the Rfam family "Bacterial small subunit ribosomal RNA", at positions 232 to 884 of the family's 1533-position model. The record is from RNAcentral.
CGCGGCCUAUCAGCUUGUUGGUGGGGUAACGGCCUACCAAGGCGACGACGGGUAGCCGGCCUGAGAGGGCGACCGGCCACACUGGGACUGAGACACGGCCCAGACUCCUACGGGAGGCAGCAGUGGGGAAUAUUGCGCAAUGGGCGGAAGCCUGACGCAGCGACGCCGCGUGGGGGAUGAAGGCCUUCGGGUUGUAAACCCCUUUCAGCAGGGACGAAGCGGAAGUGACGGUACCUGCAGAAGAAGCGCCGGCUAACUACGUGCCAGCAGCCGCGGUAACACGUAGGGCGCAAGCGUUGUCCGGAAUUAUUGGGCGUAAAGAGCUCGUAGGUGGUCUGUUGCGUCCGCUGUGAAAACUCAGGGCUUAACCCUGAGCCUGCAGUGGAUACGGGCAGACUAGAGGUAGGUAGGGGAGAAUGGAAUUCCUGGUGUAGCGGUGAAAUGCGCAGAUAUCAGGAGGAACACCGGUGGCGAAGGCGGUUCUCUGGGCCUUACCUGACACUGAGGAGCGAAAGCGUGGGGAGCGAACAGGAUUAGAUACCCUGGUAGUCCACGCCGUAAACGUUGGGCGCUAGGUGUGGGAUCCUUCCACGGAUUCCGUGCCGCAGCUAACGCAUUAAGCGCCCCGCCUGGGAGUACG